RNAcentral lists this ribosomal RNA (330 nucleotides) under uncultured bacterium. RNAcentral's name for it is "bacterial SSU rRNA". It matches the Rfam family "Bacterial small subunit ribosomal RNA", at positions 8 to 352 of the family's 1533-position model. The record is from RNAcentral.
AGAGUUUGAUCAUGGCUCAGAAUCAACGCUGGCGGCGCGCCUAACACAUGCAAGUCGAACGAGAAAGGGGAGCAAUCCCUGAGUACAGUGGCGUACGGGUGAGUAACACGUGGAUGAUCUACCCCUUAGUUUGGAAUAACCCUGGGAAACCGGGGCUAAUACCGGAUAAGCACGAGAGUGGAAAGCAGCAAUGCGCUGAGGGAGGAGUCCGCGGCCGAUUAGCUAGUUGGUAGGGUAAAAGCCUACCAAGGCAAAGAUCGGUAGCCGGCCUGAGAGGGCACACGGCCACACUGGCACUGAAACACGGGCCAGACUCCUACGGGAGGCAGC